Molecule: ribosomal RNA, 465 nt
Filed under: uncultured bacterium
Lineage: Bacteria
Description: partial 16S ribosomal RNA
Rfam family: Bacterial small subunit ribosomal RNA
Source: RNAcentral
GACGAACGCUGGCGGCGUGCUUAACACAUGCAAGUCGAACGGAAAGGCCCCUUUGGGGGUACUCGAGUGGCGAACGGGUGAGUAACACGUGAGUAACCUGCCCUUGACUUCGGGAUAACUUCAGGAAACUGGGGCUAAUACCGGAUAGGAAUCCUUGCUGCAUGGUGGGGGUUGGAAAGCUUCGGCGGUUUUGGAUGGACUCGCGGCUUAUCAGCUUGUUGGUGGGGUAGUGGCUUACCAAGGCUUUGACGGGUAGCCGGCCUGAGAGGGCGACCGGCCACAUUGGGACUGAGAUACGGCCCAGACUCCUACGGGAGGCAGCGGUGGAGAAUAUUGCACAAUGGGCGGAAGCCUGAUGCAGCAACGCCGCGUGCGGGAUGACGGCCUUCGGGUUGUAAACCGCUUUCAGCAGGGGCGAAGCUUGUGGUGACGGUACCUGCAGAAGAAGCACCGGCUAACUACGUG